AUUCUGUUUGCAACAAUACAAUUCUGCUUUAAGAAAUGAGUACAAUUUCACUUGAAAUGUCCAUCUGUUGAGUAACACCAAAACUGUCCGGUUUGAUGAUUCAGAUGCUAAGGAGAAAUGAAAGAGAGCACAUUGAAAAUAGGGGCAUACUGACUUCCUUGGGUAUAGCAGGCUGCUGUAUAAUAUUUAACCACUGUAUACAGAAUUUGGUUCCUUUUUUUUAGUCAGUCUGACUUUUUCAUCCACAGUUUUUUACUGAUCUGAUUGUUACAUGAAACCUGACUACCCAAUACUUGUGGCCAUUUUCAAACUUUUAAAUAGCCCCUUCCUGUUUCGUGAAUGGAAGAUCACUUACAUAAAUUUCUAAAAUAAAUUUCAGUCACAUCUUCAUUUUCACGGAGGGAAAAGUCAUCAGACAAAGACCUGUUUCAUCACUUUCCAUGUGCCAUUUCCUAACAUGGUACCUACUAAGUGUCCAGUAUGCCGGUUCUGGUGUUUUGUUGAGCAUUCCUAUAGUGUGCUAAAGAAAAAACAGUUCUUAUAACUAUUAGAAAUAGAGAAACAGAGUUGGAACAUUUCUACAGUUCUUUUCUGUAAUGACAGCAGAACUGAAAGAUCAAAGGAAGAAAGAGAGGAGAUGAUGCUUUUUAUGCAUUCCGGAAGUAAAGCUGUAUGUUGAAAUAAAUUCUUAAUUGUGUCCCUAUGCAAAACCACAAUUUUUCCAGGGUUUUUGUGAGAUCUGGACAUACACAGUAUCUCAGAUCAGUCCUUCAAGAACAACACACGUUAUUAGCAUUUGAUGAGAAAAAAAAACCCCAACCGUGAAACAGAAAACCAUUAACAGUGGAAAACUAUCUUAUCUAGAUAAGAAGCAAUGAGUAAGUCCUAAAUAAGUUUAUUGAUUAAAUUGGAGUUUACAGAGGAUCCAUGAACAAAGGUGCUGUCAGGAAAAUUAAUCCACAAACAUCAGAGUUUUAUGUCCAAAAAGGAGACAGAAGAGUCCUGUAACUUUAUUUGAAUAAAGGGAGAGGUCAUGGGGCAUUCCCCAUGAGGUCUCUCAACAUUUUUAGGGAUGCAGCCUCCUUUUUAUCCUAAUUUCCACAUUUUCCACAUUUUCCUCUCUCUCCUCCCAUUGGCUGAGGUACUUGAGAGGUACAGACUUCCCAAAAUGCAUAAUACCCCUUCUAAUGUAUACCCUCCUCAGUUUUCUUUUUCCUUAUGUCUCUCUUCUUUUUCUCUAAAUCCAGACAUGUAGGAUGGUCUUCAGUGAGUUAACAGUCUGUGUCACUUACUGGAAUUCCUACGGAAUUCAUGGUUUCCCCCACUGCUUCUUUCACUUCUCCAUAUCUGGCCCAUUGUUUGUAAAGACAUCUCCUUCUCACUCCUUUCAGUGUAAAGAAAAAAAAAAUGGUUCAACGCAAGGCCAAGGUGCAGAAUGAAAGUUGACAGAGUCACACCAAAAUAUCCCUUUCCUUCCACCAAAACAGAUUAUGAGAAUGUUUUUCUGUACCAGUUGAAAAGGGUGGGCACGCAGCAUAUCAUAGGAUUGCAAUUACAAUUUUUUGAAAAUUUUAGGAUCUUGUGAAUGAAUGAGACUGAAUUUCACAGUUGAAGCCUUUUACAUUAAAUAAAUUGAUGCAUUAAUCAAUUAAACUAUCAAAAUGAAUCAAUUAAUAAUUCAUAAUGGUAUUGCAAACCUUCCAGGUGUGAAAACCUCUACAGUCUGCUGGAAUGAAUCUGAAAUAGGAUCAGGAGGAUAAUGUUGCCUCUGGCACUGACUCACAGUACCCCUGAGGAAGUCACUCUGACCAUCUGCAUGUAAUAAUGGUACCACAUAGCUCAUUUGGGUGUGAGCAGGCUCAUUAGCUAAUGUUCGAUAUUGCUGUAAAGUGCAAAAUGGGUUGUGAGGGCUUGGUAUUGUUAUUUAAAAAGAAAUAAACAGGAAACAUCAGUCAGGUAAUGUCAUCACUGAGACAUUAGAUCCCUCAAUGACAGUGGCAGAGACACAGUGACAAGAGUGACCCAGGCUCGAAUAACAGCAUUCUUUAUGGUUAGAAUGCGUGCAAAACCGGGGCUUUUUCACAGCUCUUACACAACGCAGGUCCUUAGCCAAUGCAUCUCCUCAGGGCUCAUUCCUUCUUUAGGCACAUGAAGCACCUUUAUGAAAUACUGAGGUCAAAAGAGAAGACAGUUCCCCAUUACGAGUUUUUAUAUGAUAAUCAAGAUGAUUGCCGAUCUCCAGGUUACUGUUCCUCCGAGCUAUAGGCUUGCGUGAGCUGCAGUCUGAGGGAACACCCCAGCAAUCCCCACGGAAAUCCUUGGCGUGCGGCUCAGCACCACCUCGGCUGCUCUCAUUUCCGUGCGGCUGCCCUACAGCGCAGCCCUGAAGGCGUAAACAGCGCAUCGUAAUUUAACCACAACUUUCAGCACCCCUCUCUGAGGUCCUGCUGGACGGAGCUGCGGAUCUAACUGGGGCCAACCGGGAUUGCCCGGGAAGGGCGCGGCGCUGCCACAACCACAGCGGGCAGGGCUGUGCAGGCCUGGGGCCGCUCCCGGCAUCUGCCCCUGCGGCGACCCAAGCAAUUCUCCCGGCCUAGAGGAACGUGCUCCUUCAAAGCGCCGCUUUGCCGACUCUCCAGGCGUUUGGCGGCAGCCUGAGAGCGGCGCAGAACCAGGAAACUGCCUGAGAGGUGCUGGGCGGGCCUGGAAAUACGCGCUAGGAAACGCCGUCCUUCGCCCGGGACAAGUAUCGUGCCUUGCCAGAAGCCCCAAAAAGCAGAGUCAGAGCCCCCGAAAAAGCCAGUCCGCUUGACUCGGUCCCCGGGCGCGGCUGCUUGCACUGCACUGAACGCACCGCACUCACACAAGGCCCGCCUCGCCUCGCAGCCCCGCGGCUUUCGCGCACUCCGCAUGACCCCGCCAUGGCUUCACUCAGAGCCCAACUCCAGCAUGGCGCC
This is a long non-coding RNA of Taeniopygia guttata (zebra finch), 2957 nucleotides long. The record is from Ensembl. NCBI's taxonomy places the organism in Eukaryota, Metazoa, Chordata, Aves, Passeriformes, Estrildidae.